Molecule: unclassified non-coding RNA, 138 nt
Filed under: soil metagenome
Description: partial internal transcribed spacer 1
Source: RNAcentral
CUGAGUACUACACUCUCUACCCCUUGUGAACUAUUAUACCUGUUGCUUCGGCGGCGCCCGCAAGGGUGCCCGCCGGUCUCAUCAGAAUCUCUGUUUUCGAACCCGACGAUACUUCUGAGUGUUCUUAGCGAACUGUCA